AGCAUUUCAGAGCUUCAGAUUAGCAAGAAGCCCUGCAGUUACUGGAGCGUAGCGAAGGGUUUUGAGCAGGGGAUCAGCACCUGCUUUUCGGCUUUCAUUGGAGUUUCUCUUCAGCCAUCAGAAGAGUAAAGGAAAACCAGAAACUGCCAUCAGAAUGAGCAGCAUGAUUAUACAUCAGUAACAAGCAAAUUGCUUGUCAAAAAGUAAGUUUUCUUGCACCGAGCAGACCAGGAGCUAAGGACUUUUAUGAUUGAUAGACCAAACGUACCACCAUCUGAAGGGUAUAGCUCAGUAGCCAUUUUCAGAGCAUGACUACAGGAAAAGACCCUGAACUGCUGCAACUGUUCAUCUCAGAUUAUGUGAUAGGAAGAAGAAAAAGAAGAGGAAGAAAGAUAGGAAGAAGAAAAAACAUCAAAACAACAAAUAAAACCUAGCCUAGCUUUCCUCAUAUUGACCAAAUUAGGAUUCUUUUUCUGUGUCACGUAACAUUUAUCUUUUUAUAGAGCAGUGACAAUUAUAUGGCUUUUCCUUUGUCUCGUCUUGGCUAUACUGCGGUGAUUUGCAACAAAACUGAUGUUUAUAUAUUCAUUUUCACUCCAAGAGCAGGCUGCUGCUGUGUCUGAAAGAAACGUUUAAACUUCUCGUUUGUCAUUUUUCUAUUGUUUUUGGUUGGAUUUUUUUAUUUUUUUAUUUUUUGCUUUUUGGUGUUUUUUUUCCUAUGUCUCUUUUGUUGUUGUCUGUCAUAUUGGCUCCCUACUUCAGUAUUUAUUAUUCUUUACACUUUUUUUUUUCCCUACAGCACAGCAUUUCAUCUCAGAUGACUGUUUGACCACAGUGUUUCUCUGUAAAAGACGCAUGUAGCAGUUUUGAAAAGUCUACUUAGGUCUUACCACCUAUUUUAUCAGCUAAAAUGCUGAAGGUUAUGCUUAGAUUUCAUAUAUAUAUAUAUA
RNAcentral lists this long non-coding RNA (950 nucleotides) under Gallus gallus (chicken). Its description in RNAcentral is "lncRNA (ENSGALG00010014110.1)". The record is from RNAcentral. Lineage: Eukaryota; Metazoa; Chordata; Aves; Galliformes; Phasianidae.